RNAcentral lists this ribosomal RNA (395 nucleotides) under uncultured Chrysochromulina. RNAcentral describes it as "partial small subunit ribosomal RNA". It matches the Rfam family "Eukaryotic small subunit ribosomal RNA", at positions 30 to 432 of the family's 1831-position model. Lineage: Eukaryota; Haptophyta; Prymnesiales; Chrysochromulinaceae. The record is from RNAcentral.
GCUUGUCUCAAAGAUUAAGCCAUGCAUGUCUCAGUAUAAGUUCCUGUACGGCGAAACUGCGAAUGGCUCAUUAAAACAGUUACAGUUUAUUUGAUGGUCGUUCCUUACAUGGAUAACUGUGGUAAUUCUAGAGCUAAUACAUGCACCCGUGCCCGACUUUGUGGAAGGGUUGUGUUUAUUAGAUAAAAACCAAUGCCUCGUGCUUUUGGUGAGUCAUGAUAACUGCGCGGAUCGCAUGGCCUUGCGCCGGCGACGCUUCAUUCAAAUUUCUGCCCUAUCAACUUUCGAUGGUAAGAUAGAGGCUUACCAUGGUGUUAACGGGUAACGGGGAAUUGGGGUUCGAUUCCGGAGAGGGAGCCUGAGAAAUGGCUACCACUUCCAAGGAAGGCAGCAGG